Equus caballus (horse) is the source of this 1895-nucleotide long non-coding RNA. Lineage: Eukaryota; Metazoa; Chordata; Mammalia; Perissodactyla; Equidae. The record is from Ensembl.
GGGAAGGCCAGGCAUGAGGAAAAGAGCCAUUCACUUCGUUAAUUUCAAUUUAGUGUUGAACCAUUUCAAUCAAUGAUUUAUUAUUUUUGUUUAUAAAAUAUGUUGUAGUUCCCCAAAGAGAGCUCUUAAUCCUCUUAAGAAUGCACUAAACUCCUCCAUAUCUGUUAGGACUGUGGAUUUGGGGGUCCUCAGCAGUGAGAGAGAUUCAUUCAAUGCAGUGAAGGAUAUGGCGCCAUGUGCUAAUAGGCACUCAACAGAAGCUUUUUAGAAAUUGUAGUGAUGAAAAACCUACCUGAAACAAAGGAGGAAUAUUUGACAAAAAAGGGGAAAAGUUAUAUCUGGGGUCCUGCUUGGCCUGUUUCAUUGGAGUUACCUCUCUCCCUGACAUUCAGCUGAAGCAACAGGAUUGGGUGGCCGCCAUAAUUUGACCAGCUGACUUCCAUUCCUGGUUCCAGCUGAUUGAACCAAAUGAGUCCCAGUUCAAGCUGAGCCAAUCAGCUUUGCCUCUUAUGGAUUUUAUCUUCAGAAGACAAAGAUUCAUCUAGAUUUGCCAUCAGUCUUGAUACAACAUGCAGAAGCUUGUCUGAAAAAGAAACCAAAUGGAGGCAAAGUAGCCAAGAGAUGAGAAAAGAGUACAGACCCUGAUGAUCUCAUUUGAUCCUUGGAUUCUCCCAUGAUGCCUCUUGGACUAUUCAGUUUUUAAAUGCAAUUUUAUCCAUUUUUGAAUGAUCAUUAAGUUGGGUCUCUGUCAUGUGAAGUUAAAGCACCGUAUAUGUCAAUGGAUACAGUGUCAAUAUGUAGAAAUCAACUUUAUUUCUAUAAGCUACCAAGAUGUAAUUGAAACAUAAAAUUUAAAAAAUUAUUUACAAUAGCACCAAGAAUAAAAUCUAAUGAAAAAUUUGUAGGCCCUUUACACAAAACUACAAGAUUAAGCCCAGAGAAAUUAAAGAUCUAAAUAAAUGGAGGAUGCUAUCAAGUUCAAAGAUUGGAAAAAUUCUUACUGUAAAGAUGCCUGUUUUUAAAAAAUUGAUCCAUAAAAUCAAUGCAGCCUCAAUCAAAAUUCCAAACUAUGUAUGUAUUUGUGUAUAAUAUAUAAAAUAUAUACAUGCAUAUUAUAUGCAUAUAUAUUUUUUAAUAUGUGUGAAACUGACUCUAAAAUUUAUAUAGAAUUAUUUUAAGGUCAAGCAUAGCCAGGACAAUGUUGAAGAAAAAGAAAAACCUUAUUGUGUAGCUACAGGAAUUAAGGCAGUGUGGUAUUGGCACAAGGAUAGACAUGUAGACCAAUGGAAAAACAUCUUUUUAGUGAGCAGAGGAGUGGAUGGGAGAUCAAGAAACAAAGGUGGUGAGGGUAGAUCUAUCUUAAAGAAAUUUGGUUCUAAAUGGAAGGAGAGAAAUAGGGAUGAAAUUAGAGGUAAAUGAGAUGUUGGGAGACAUAAUGUCCUAGAGAACCAGAAGUUCUUUCGAAGAACCACUAUUUAGAAGGGCAGGCCCCCUCCUUCCUUCUCUAACCCCCAUUCUUUGACUAAUGCCAAGUAACACAGAAUUGUCGGCAGUUGUAUACAACUUGCAAAUCACACAAGCUUGGAAGCUGCCAGGGUUAUUCAGUUUAGGUUUCAGAGAGAAUUCAGGAGAACAUCAAUAGAGAGCCCAAAGCAAGUGCACUCACUGAGAGCUCAACACCCCUCUCAGCUGCAUGCGGCACUCUCUCCCUGCCUCAGAAGGGCAAGGAUUUUGAGAGAAACCACAGGUCGGCUUACAAGAAAAAAGUCAGAACUUUGGGAUUCUUAACUAACCCCUUUAGGGCAGGAACCGUGUUUUUUUUGACUUUACAUACUCCCAGUUGCAGUGUCAGGACGUGGAAAGCUCUCUGUGUUUGUUGGGAUCAAUCAAUCAAU